Molecule: long non-coding RNA, 414 nt
Organism: Podarcis raffonei (Aeolian wall lizard)
Lineage: Eukaryota; Metazoa; Chordata; Lepidosauria; Squamata; Lacertidae
Exons: 3
Source: RefSeq, a predicted model, not a curated record
CCUGCAGUGAAGGCAUAGAGAAUUGCAAAACUUGCAGAUGCUCCUCUCAGAGGUCUAAUGAGACUGGCCUCAUGAACUGAAGGCCUGUGUACCGUGCCACUCCACAUCAAAUAUAUUGCAGCCAAAGCAUUCAUCUUCCUGGUUCAAUCCAUUUGUCAUUUUGCCCUGUCCUUUACAUCUACGAAAGCCUGCAUUUACCAGUAUUAUAUACAUGUCCACACUACCUCCAAGGCCCUACAGGUGGCUGAUAAAAGUCACAUCCAACUCGGAUCUGCACUGCUUUCUUCAACCACCAACAAAGAGCCAUUGGCCGUAGACAGACCAGUGGAAGAUUCCUUGAUGUGUUGCCUGAUCUUCUGAUGCCAAUUGAAGGGGGCGUCCGAGGAAGCCAGGUGUAAAGGCUGCCAAUGAUGA